Molecule: ribosomal RNA, 396 nt
Filed under: uncultured bacterium
Lineage: Bacteria
Description: partial 16S ribosomal RNA
Rfam family: Bacterial small subunit ribosomal RNA
Source: RNAcentral
AUACGUAGGGAGCGAGCGUUGUCCGGAAUUACUGGGUGUAAAGGGAGAGUAGGCGGGAUCGCAAGUCAGAUGUGAAAUGCAUGGGCUUAACCCAUGAGCUGCAUUUGAAACUGCGGUUCUUGAGUGCAGUAGAGGUAAGCGGAAUUCCUGGUGUAGCGGUGAAAUGCGCAGAUAUCAGGAGGAACACCGGUGGCGAAGGCGGCUUACUGGGCUUUUACUGACGCUGAGGCUCGAAAGCGUGGGGAGCAAACAGGAUUAGAUACCCUGGUAGUCCACGCUGUAAACGAUGAUUACUAGGUGUGGGGGGACUGACCCCUUCCGUGCCGCAGUUAACACAAUAAGUAAUCCACCUGGGGAGUACGGCCGCAAGGUUGAAACUCAAAUGAAUUGACGGGG